RNAcentral lists this ribosomal RNA (481 nucleotides) under uncultured bacterium. RNAcentral's name for it is "partial 16S ribosomal RNA". It matches the Rfam family "Bacterial small subunit ribosomal RNA", at positions 28 to 507 of the family's 1533-position model. The record is from RNAcentral.
GAUGAACGCUGGCGGCGUGCCUAACACAUGCAAGUCGAACGGAGAUUCCGGACGGACGUUUUCGGAUGGAAGCCUGUAAUUCUUAGUGGCGGACGGGUGAGUAACGCGUGGGCAACCUGCCCUAUACAGGGGGAUAGCAGCUGGAAACGGCUGGUAAGACCGCAUAAGUCGGUUAAAUCGCAUGAUUUGAUCGGGAAAUGAGCAAUCAGGUAUAGGAUGGGCCCGCGUCCGAUUAGCCAGUUGGCAGGGUAAAAGCCUACCAAAGCGACGAUCGGUAGCCGGACUGAGAGGUCGGACGGCCACAUUGGGACUGAGACACGGCCCAAACUCCUACGGGAGGCAGCAGUGGGGGAUAUUGCACAAUGGAGGAAACUCUGAUGCAGCGACGCCGCGUGAGUGAAGAAGUAUUUCGGUAUGUAAAGCUCUAUCAGCAGGGAAGAUGAUGACGGUACCUGACGAAGAAGCCCCGGCUAACUACGUG